Molecule: ribosomal RNA, 245 nt
Filed under: uncultured Lactobacillus sp.
Lineage: Bacteria; Bacillati; Bacillota; Bacilli; Lactobacillales; Lactobacillaceae
Description: partial 16S ribosomal RNA
Rfam family: Bacterial small subunit ribosomal RNA
Source: RNAcentral
UGGGGAACCUGCCCCAUAGUCUGGGAUACCAUUUGGAAACAGGUGCUAAUACCGGAUAAGAAAGCGGAUCGCAUGAUCAGCUUUUAAAAGGCGGCGUAAGCUGUCGCUAUGGGAUGGCCCCGCGGUGCAUUAGCUAGUUGGUAAGGUAAAGGCUUACCAAGGCGAUGAUGCAUAGCCGAGUUGAGAGACUGAUCGGCCACAUUGGGACUGAGACACGGCCCAAACUCCUACGGGAGGCAGCAGUA